GAACAACCCUGGCUCAGCCAGUAGAGCAUGAGCCUCUUAAUCUCAGGGUUAUGGGCUCGAGCCCUACGUUGGACA
Podarcis lilfordi (Lilford's wall lizard) is the source of this 75-nucleotide non-coding RNA. Lineage: Eukaryota; Metazoa; Chordata; Lepidosauria; Squamata; Lacertidae. The record is from the annotation of a GenBank genome assembly.